RNA transcript from Jatropha curcas, 5099 nucleotides. RefSeq lists it as uncharacterized. The record is from RefSeq and is a predicted model, not a curated record. NCBI's taxonomy places the organism in Eukaryota, Viridiplantae, Streptophyta, Magnoliopsida, Malpighiales, Euphorbiaceae.
UCAAUUUAGUCACUGCAGCAUGCGAGCACUUUGGUUCUUGGUGUAUGGUGUGGGAUGUGAAUUUAUUUUCUCACGAAUUAUUAAAUCUGUGUAUACAAAUUUGUAGUUUUAACUUUCUAAAUUGACAUACCUUAAUCAUGUCCUUAUUUCUCAAUUGCUGGGUGACCACUGCAUCAUAUGUUUUCCUUAGAUCCUAGUUCCUAGCCUUUGCUUCAUACUGAAUUUAACAGCUUGCCAGUUUAUAAAUUUAGCUAUGAAGGUGCAACCUUUAGAAAAUUUUCAGCAGUUUGAUGUUGUAAUUGAAAAUGGUGAACAUCUACUUCAUCCAAGUAAGUUUUGUUUUCUGACUCAAAAAGAAAUUGUAUUUCAUAGUCCUUAAUUUUUUUUAGUACUUAGUAAUGACUUGUGAUAUUUUACCUACAAUUUAUUGUUAUUAUUAUUAUUUUGCGGCACUGCAGCACAUUUAUAGAAAUUUCGAGUUCAUUUAUCACAAUCAUGAAAAUAUCCAUUAUUCUACAAUGUUUUUGGAUCUUUCAUUUAGAAAUAACCAUAUCUUGUGUUUAGAAAAUGAGGGUUAUUCCAAUUUAGGCAUUCUCUAACUGUUUGCACCUAGGUGAUGAGAAGAUUCUGUGUUGGCUAUGCCAUAGGCUUAAAACGAAAUACUUCUCUUUUGUUGAAAUCUGGAAGAUGAUAAUUAUUUUUCCUGUGAUGGCAAAUGAAUGCUGUAGAGUUGGUAGAUGGCUUCAUUGUUAUGAGAGGUGAAAGCAAGGUGUGAAGAAUGCUUGAAAAACUGUUAAGUUUCUUCUUGGAUGAAUGCUGUGUUAUGAUGCAUCAAUAUGUGAUUUUAAGCAAAUAAUUAUUAUGGAUGUCUGAACUUAAAUUUCUGUGUUUUGAUGUUGCAACUAAUGUGUUCGCUGAUCUUGUUGUCUGAGCAAUCGAUUUGGGGAAAAAAAGAAAAAACAGUUUGAACAUUGUGAAGGCUGGAAGUUGGUGAGGGUUGACUAAUGCAACAAUGCCAUUGCACAGUUUCAGUUCCUCUAGAGCAUAAAUUUACUAAAGGAUGCAUUGAAAUUGUAGCCAGAAGCAUAAGCAAUACCAAGGAAAACUUACAGGUCGCAUCUAUCAGGCUUCGUUCCACCUCUCUUCACCUAUUCAAAAAAUGUGGGAAAUAAAAGCACAGAAAGUUCUCAGCCAUAUGCUUCUGAUGUUGCAAGCAACAGUCUCUGACUCGGAAUUUACCCUGCAUGAAGAAAAUGCUAUGUACAAUUUUCAGUUUCUGCCCUACAUUGGCGUUGGCAGAGGUGAGGAGUGACAGCUUUUCAUGCUAAUUCAUGACCACACAGCUUUUUCUAUCCUACAGAUGAUAGUGUACAUUGAAUCAGGUACUUCUAAUGAUUUAUCUAAGUUGUUUUGCCAAAAAAGAAACAGAAAUUGAUUAUGUGGGCCCUGUUUAUACCCUCAUGGUCAUUUGCAACUUAAACCUAGUUCUGCAGAAGUUCCAUUUUCAAAUGUAGUAGUGUAUUUACUAGGAUUUGCAAUUGCAAGUCUGUCUUGUCUGGCCAUUUGGCAUAUGAGGAGUAAGCUAUGGUUGCAUAUGGCAAUUGCAGCCCCUAUUACUGACAAACAACUAGUAAAUUGCAAUAUCUCAAAUUAGGUUGUUGGGGUUUAACUUUUAAUAGACCAUAGUAUUGAUUUAGAGUGGUUUUUAUUGGUCUAAAGUAGACUAAUAGUGCAGACAAAUUGAUGACAGAAGAAAAAUAUAUCCCUAGUGUUUUCCAUAUACACGUGGCAAUGAGAUGAUGUAGACCAUAUGACGAUUGGUAGCCAGUGAAGAAAAACAGAAACCACAUAUGUCCCAGGAAAUAAAAAUCCACACGAGGGCAAUAUCGUCACGUUGGAAAAAACAAAUGGCUCUUUGUUUUGAUUCAAUUCCAGUUCCUGGAGCACUACAAGUAACUGUUGCUCAGCUCUUCCUACGCACACAAGCACAUGCUCGCUCUCCUCUUCUCCAAUUCCUCUCUCUUUCUUCCUUCCUUCCUCUCUUCAAAAAUUUUCAGUCUUUGGGUGUUCAUUUUCCUAUCUGUAUCUCUUUCCUUUCAAUUUUCUCGAGUUUCUAGAAUUCAUUUUGCUCCAUUGCAGUUCUAUAGCCAAUCAAUAUCAGUUUUUUUCUUUGAUCAAGUCCUAUCUUGCUCUUUGUCAUUACAAGGGCUGGAUUUUACUCCAUUGAAGCCUCGAACAGGAUCAGAGGGCAGAGAAACCUUUCUCUCUUCCCAUCCAGCAAUGGUGUUUCGUUCAUUCGCCAGAACAAAGAAGUCACAGCCUACAGACACUAACAAACUCACCGGCAUGGCUUCUUCAACUCUUAAACCUCACCAGCCUCUCCAUAACUUCUCCUUACCGGACCUGAAAUGGUCUAUAAACCACCAUACUAACAGCCACCGCUUUCGCAAGCCUGCUUCCGAUUCCUCUUACAAAUUCCCUCACUGUGAUACUUCAGAGUCCAAUGGGAAUCCGAUAUUUGACGCUGCCAAAAUUGGCGACUCGGAGGCGUAUCCCAUUCGCAAGCCUGCUUCCGGUUCCUCUUACAAAUCCCCUCACUGUGACACCUCAGAGUCCAAUGGGAAUCCGGUAUUUCACGCUGCCAAAAUUGGCAACUCCGAGGCGUAUCCCAUUCGCAAGCCUGCUUCCCAUUCCUCUUACAAAUCCCCUCACUUUGACACCUCACAGUCCAGUGGGAAUCCGGUAUUUCACGCUGCCAAAAUUGGCAACUCGGACGGGUAUCCCAUUCGCAAGCCUGCUUCCCAUUCCUCUUACAAAUCCCCUCACUGUGACACUUCAGAGUCCAGUGGGAAUCCGGUAUUUCACGCUGCCAAAAUUGGCAACUCGGACGCGUAUCCCAUUCGCAAGCCUGCUUCCCAUUCCUCUUACAAAUCCCCUCACUGUGACACCUCAAAGUCCGGUGGGAAUCCGGUAUUUCACACCGCCAAAAUUGGCAACUCAGAGGCAUAUCCCAUUCGCAAGCCUGCUUCCCAUUCCUCCUACAAAUCCCCUCACUGUGACACCUCAGAAUUCAAUGGGAAUCCGGUAUUUCACGCUGCCAAAACUGGCAACUCGGAGGCGUAUCCCAUUCGGAGGACUGAGAAACCUGAGAAAAAAUCGGGGCUCUCAGUUGACAAUUCUGACAGGAAAUCCAAAAUAUUUAUUCGCAUUAAGACUAAGAGCAGCAAGUGUGCUGAUGACGUUGCGAAUGCGGGGGAUCAGACCUCGGUUGUGGAUGAUGCGGACGAAACACUGAUGAAGACAUGGAAUCUGAGGCCUAGAAGAGCUGUGACUAAGGCUUCUAAUGGGAAUGGAGGUUUACUGAAGAUUGGUGGAACUGCCGCGCCGGAAACUAAAGCUCAGGAAACGAGUCGCCCUGAAUUGAUUGGGUCGCGGAAUGCUAACGGUGCUAAGGUGGGUGAGAAGAAAGGGAAGGGUAAGGAGAAGGUGGAGAUGGUGAAGUUCUCAAUCCCGCUUACCAAAGCGGAAAUUGAAGAGGAUAUCUAUGCUUUGACUGGGUCAAAGCCUGCGAGGAGGCCGAAGAAGAGAGCUAAACCUGUGCAGAAACAACUUGAUUGCCUUUUUCCUGGAUUGUGGCUGUCAUCGAUUACGCCUGAUGCAUACAGAGUUUCUGAACCACAUCUGAAGGGUUAGGUGAUUCAUUCAUGUAAACUGGGAAACUCGGUGGUGAAUGACUGCCCAACUUUUUGACAACAGCUGAAAAUGUAACAAAGUUUGAGCCUGUAAGGACGAAAGGUCGUGAUGCUGCGCCUUCACUCAUAACGUUCAUGAAAUUAUGAUCUUUAAUUCCAGCACACAUGUGUAUUUGCUCAAUGAAUGGAAGCAAAGUAGCUGCCGUGGUGGUGAAAACUUGGCGAUAUUCAGCUCAAGGGUGGUGCAUAUAUAACUGUGAAUAAGGGUGCUUUUUGUGCUGAAUGUUCACCUUUUUCUACUUUAAAGCAUUCUGAGAUAUAUCUAUGGGAUGCAAUCUACAUGCUAACUGAGAAUCAAUUCUGUAUGAGCUGCUUUAGGCCAUCUGGAACAAUCUGCUGAGGGGAAUUCAGCAGCUGGAAACAAGAAGGUACCUGGAAGUUGAGGCUGCAAUUGCAUGUGAUAUUUGGGGAUCAUAUGCUGUUGUCUGGAAAGGAUGAACUUAAAAGACGAUGCCGAUAACCCUUUUGAAACUUUACAUGGAAAAUUUUGCUGUAUCCUCUUCAUAGAGACCUUAGCUGUCACUAAAAUUUUCAUCCUUUUUGGAAAAAUUAUCCCAAGAAAUUUUUCCCUUGCAUGGGGAAAUUAUAGAAGAUUAUGUUAUCAGAUCUAUGUUGCAUCCUAUUUUCUCCCAUUGAACCAGCAACCAAGGAGACCUCUGGAUUGCAGUGCCUUUUUUAACAAAUGACAACGAAGAAUCUAAAUGCUAAUAAUAUGAAAGUUUGACGAUGCUGGGGACCAGAACUGAUUGGCAAAGAAUUGAAAUUUGAGGCUCAAACUCCAAAAGAAUGAAAUGCAAGAAACAUCUAAAUCAGAGGCAGAUGAGAAUAAGUUAGGUUUAAAUUCUUGCUUCUCAAUUAAAUUAGCAACUGACUUGUUUCUUAUUAUUUUUCGUACAUCUAAUGCUGUGAUUAAUUACUGUUUAGCUGAUUCUACAAUAAAACUUUAGGCUAAAGUUACAUCUGAUUUAUUACUAUAUUUCCAUUCAUUCUAUAUUUCUAUUUCUUUCCAGCAGCUUCUCACUCAGUAAAAGCUGAACUGGUGGUUCAGUUUACAGUUCAUGCAUUUCCUGGGAUCUUCCUUAGGGACAGAAAUGCUGAUAUCAGACACCACAAACUUUUAAGGCUACUUCCACUUCCUUGUUUUGAAACUUAUGUUAUCUACUACAUGUGCAACUAGCAGCCAAGCCAGGAUUGAAGAUUAAGGGGGGGGAAAAAAAAAAAAGAAGAAAGAUUUCAAAAAUUAAGAGGGGUUAAAUUAAAAAAGCUAUUUUAAUAUUUUACUAUUCUAUCUAGUUCUGUAAUUUUUCAGGAACUUUGCUUAAUAAGAUGAAUGUGUUGUAUUAGAUA